RNAcentral lists this ribosomal RNA (292 nucleotides) under uncultured bacterium. Its description in RNAcentral is "partial 16S ribosomal RNA". It matches the Rfam family "Bacterial small subunit ribosomal RNA", at positions 505 to 796 of the family's 1533-position model. The record is from RNAcentral.
GUGCCAGCCGCCGCGGUAAUACGGAGGGGGCUAGCGUUAUUCGGAAUUAUUGGGCGUAAAGGGCGUGUAGGCGGCUUCGUAAGUCUUGUGUGAAAGCCCUCGGCUCAACCGAGGAAUUGCACGAGAAACUGCGUGGCUCGAGUCCGGGAGAGGAUAGUGGAAUUCCCAGUGUAGCGGUGAAAUGCGUAGAUAUUGGGAGGAACACCGGUGGCGAAGGCGGCUAUCUGGACCGGUACUGACGCUGAUACGCGAAAGCCAGGGGAGCAAACGGGAUUAGAAACCCCUGUAGUCC